This 139-nucleotide ribosomal RNA is filed under the name uncultured bacterium. RNAcentral describes it as "partial 16S ribosomal RNA". It matches the Rfam family "Bacterial small subunit ribosomal RNA", at positions 356 to 509 of the family's 1533-position model. The record is from RNAcentral.
UGGGAAUAUUGGGCAAUGGGCGCAAGCCUGACCCAGCAACGCCGCGUGAAGGAAGAAGGCUUUUCGGGUUGUAAACUUCUUUUGACAGGGAAGAGCAGAAGACGGUACCUGUCGAAUAAGCCACGGCUAACUACGUGCC